ACCUCGUCAUUUAUGUUUCCACAAGUGGAAAUGCUAGUUUGAUGUGUCACGUGAUAUAUCAAAUCUUUGAUUAAUUUGUCAGAACCAGAUCAAUUACACUACUGAUAACAGUCCUGAAAGCAUGUAAUCAUUUUUUUAAAAGAAUUCAUAUGAACUUGCUUUUUAAUAAUGGAUGCAUUUAACAUUUAAUUAUACAGCAUCUUUGCAGAGGCUGCUUUCAUGGUCUAAAACCCCCCCCACUGUAAUGUAUAUAAGUUGCAUGUAAUGUAAUAAUAUUUCCUUCCUUUCUGUCUUACAGGAUUGCUUGCAGAUAAUGCUGUUCUUCUUUUUUUCAGGUCUACAACAUCGAGCUCAACAGAUCUUUUUAAGAGCCAACCCUCACAAACCUUGCUCUCAGCGAAUCUUGCCAUGAUCAGCCCUUUUCCAGAAGAGAAGAUCAAGGAAAUUAUUUGUUCAGGAUGAGGAAUGAAGACGGCCAUCUUGUGCCCAAACGAAGACAGAAAGCUGUCCACUGAUGAUCUCAUCAGCCAAAUGAGGGGUUUUGACCAAGUGAUGGUCUUGAAAGGAAUGAAAGAAGAGGAUGUGGUAAAUUGUCUUCAAAGAAAAAGCUUCUCAAAAGGUCUUAAAACAGCUUGAAGAAUGGUCUGGGAACUGUCUGAAAAUGGGAUGUUAGGACUGAGAGAUCCUCUGGCUGAGAAAAAGCUACACCAGAUCAGUGCUGGAUAUCAACCACAAACUGUUUCCAGACACGAGAGAAGAAGAUCAUGAUGGGGAAAUGAAACCAGUUUAGAUGUGAUGAUAAGGAAUCAUUAUUUUUCUGAAACAGUAUCACAUGUCUUAUAUGUAUCACAUGAUCUGUAUCACAGUUGCCUGGAUGGGAUUGUGUGACUUUUUAAGGACAUUUCAUUACUCAUCUGUGUGAACUGAUUAAUUUAUGAUAUUAAUGAAUUUUUGAUGAUCCAUUAUUAUUUUCCUUGAAUCUUAUUUGUCUUGAUGCUACUUUAUCAACUUUAUAGUCUAUGCUUCAAUAAAAU
This is a long non-coding RNA of Cyprinus carpio carpio, 1034 nucleotides long. Lineage: Eukaryota; Metazoa; Chordata; Actinopteri; Cypriniformes; Cyprinidae. The record is from Ensembl.